This 253-nucleotide ribosomal RNA is filed under the name uncultured bacterium. RNAcentral's name for it is "partial 16S ribosomal RNA". It matches the Rfam family "Bacterial small subunit ribosomal RNA", at positions 524 to 776 of the family's 1533-position model. The record is from RNAcentral.
UACGGAAGGAGCUAGCGUUGUUCGGAAUUACUGGGCGUAAAGAGCGCGUAGGCGGCUUACCAAGUUGGGGGUGAAAUCCCGGGGCUCAACUCCGGAACUGCCUUCAAAACUGGUAGGCUCGAGUCCGGAAGAGGGGCGUGGAAUUCCCAGUGUAGAGGUGAAAUUCGUAGAUAUUGGGAAGAACACCGGUGGCGAAGGCGGCGCCCUGGUCCGGUACUGACGCUGAGGCGCGAAAGCGUGGGGAGCAAUCAGG